UCGGGGGUCGUCUAAUGGUAGGACGACAGACUUUGAAUCUGUCUAUCGGGGUUCGAAUCCCUGCCCCCGAA
Molecule: transfer RNA, 71 nt
Filed under: Chloroflexota bacterium
Lineage: Bacteria; Bacillati; Chloroflexota
Description: tRNA-Gln
Rfam family: tRNA
About the family: Transfer RNA (tRNA) molecules are approximately 80 nucleotides in length. Their secondary structure includes four short double-helical elements and three loops (D, anti-codon, and T loops).
Source: RNAcentral